UGUGCUGGCGGAGAGAGAAAUCUGAGCCUCCGCCACGCCAGGAGCAGGCUUUGCACAAACUAUCUGGUUUCAAGUUGCGAGUCUCCGGAGUCUCUGGGAAGGUGCCCCAGGGACAGGACCCCCAGGAUUAAUGAGAAUCCCCCAUCCCCAGCCGCCCAGAGGAUAAGCAGGUGGGGAAAAUGAUGUCUUGACAAGAUUAUGGAACUGGCCAAGGCAUCCAGAAUCCCACUACCCCUUCUGGAGCCAUUGCUACCUCAAGCCAGCUGUUGGAGCGGCCACUGGGUGCUAACCCUGGUCCCACUCGUGCCUUCCAGCACCUUGUCCAGGUGCCAUUGGAAGGCAGAAGAAGCCAUCAGAUCUACUGAGGCUGGAGCUACAUGUAGUCAUGAGCUUCCUGAUGUGGAUUCUGGGAUGGAACUCCAGUUCUCCACAAAGCAGUUGGGCCAUAAUUCCAAAAUAUGCAGUUCUGAAUACAAUAAUCCUGAAUAUUGGAAUCCCCGAAGUUCAAAAUUCUCCAAGUCUGACUUAAAAUUUGCUAAGAGAGAUUCACGCUUUAAAAGAAGAUUUGAGAAACACACAAAACCUUAUUGAAAUAGGAAGUAAGGAAAGAUGUAGUGUUAUAAGCACCUUGCUCAAGCACUCCUAUGAAACUAUCAAAGCAUAAUGCUUACCAACAGUGAAACCACAGCCAUGGGGGAGAAAACAGCUCAGAAGUAAAAUGUGUGAACACAGAUCACUACAGCUGGUAACUAUGCUCACCAGGUUGUAUGUGCAGUCUUCUACAAUGUCCGAAUGGAUAACCUAAAUCAGGAGAUGUGUUGAAAACAGUGAUUCUUGAUCACAAAGCCAGUCAACACACAUCUCAAGCAUUCUAAAGAACAGAAUGAUGUCUGAUCUUAGACUAUAAACCUUUUGUUUUCUCCCUGGUGUGGGGGAUAUGGAAGUCAACCUGAUGAAGGAAAAGGUGGGAUGGAGAGCAAGGUGCCCAGGUUCCUGUGACUCCUCAAAGAGUCCUGAUCUGCAUUAGAUCUAAGAUAGCUCCCGGAACAUGGGUGAGUCAGCAUAAAGGAACAGAGGUCAGGGUGGUGGCUGCUUCCCCCAUCUUCACGGAAGUCUAAAUAGGUGACAAAGCUUUGCUCCCCUGUUCCUACCCUUCUGAGUUACCUUAUCAGGCAGGGCUUUUAUUGGGGGCACUGUGUUGGUGUGGUGAGAUAUGAUUGGUGGAGGAUUAAGAUGCUUAGGGUUGGCUCAAACACUGUAUAUGCGCUUAUGUGCUGGACAAUAAACUUAAA
Mus pahari (shrew mouse) is the source of this 1292-nucleotide long non-coding RNA. RefSeq lists it as uncharacterized. The transcript has 4 exons. Lineage: Eukaryota; Metazoa; Chordata; Mammalia; Rodentia; Muridae. The record is from RefSeq and is a predicted model, not a curated record.